UACGUAGGGGUGCAAGCGUUGUCCGGAAUUAUUGGGCGUAAAGAGCUCGUAGGCGGUUUGUCGCGGUCGGACUCGGUGAAAACCCUGGGGCUUAACUCCGGGCCUGCAGCCGAUGACGGGCAGACUAGAGUUCGGCAGGGGAGACUGGAAUUCCUGGUGUAGCGGUGAAAUGCGCAGAUAUCAGGAGGAACACCGGUGGCGGAAGGCGGGUCUCUGGGCCGAUACUGACGUGAGGAGCGAAAGGCGUGGGGAGCAACAGG
This 260-nucleotide ribosomal RNA is filed under the name uncultured bacterium. RNAcentral's name for it is "partial 16S ribosomal RNA". It matches the Rfam family "Bacterial small subunit ribosomal RNA", at positions 524 to 775 of the family's 1533-position model. The record is from RNAcentral.